CCUACGGGUGGCAGCAGUGGGGAAUAUUGCACAAUGGGGGGAACCCUGAUGCAGCAACGCCGCGUGGGUGAAGAAGUACUCCGGUAUGUAAAGCCCUGUCAGCAGGGAAGAAAAUGACGGUACCUGACCAAGAAGCCCCGGCUAACUACGUGCCAGCAGCCGCGGUAAUACGUAGGGGGCAAGCGUUAUCCGGAUUUACUGGGUGUAAAGGGAGCGUAGACGGCAAGGCAAGUCUGGAGUGAAAGCCCGGGGCCCAACCACGGGACUGCUUUUGAAACUGUGUUGCUGGAGUGCAGGAGGGGUAAGCGGAAUUCCUAGUGUAGCGGUGAAAUGCGUAGAUAUUAGGAGGAACACCGGUGGCGAAGGCGGCUUACUGGACUGUAACUGACGUUGAGGCUCGAAGGCGUGGGGAGCAAACAGGAUUAGAUACCCUUGUAGUC
This 440-nucleotide ribosomal RNA is filed under the name uncultured bacterium. RNAcentral's name for it is "partial 16S ribosomal RNA". It matches the Rfam family "Bacterial small subunit ribosomal RNA", at positions 338 to 795 of the family's 1533-position model. The record is from RNAcentral.